Acinonyx jubatus (cheetah) is the source of this 631-nucleotide long non-coding RNA. RefSeq lists it as uncharacterized. Lineage: Eukaryota; Metazoa; Chordata; Mammalia; Carnivora; Felidae. The record is from RefSeq and is a predicted model, not a curated record. The transcript has 2 exons.
ACUGGUGAAUGCUCUCAGCAUCUCUCUUUAGCCAAGCAGCAUUCAGCAGGAUAUUUUCACAACACUGCUGGAUGGUGCGCUCAGCUGAAGGAGCUGGGUGGCUCUCGAAGAAAGCCUGGUAUAACACAACCCAGAAGGGCUCUGUGCUCCUGUCUAAAGCACACUCCUUCGUUGGGUCCCGACUCCUCUCCAUCGCUUGGCCAUCGCUCCAGGAAUUACCCCCCGUCUCUUUCACAUCACGGAUUUUUCUAUUACUACUCUAGCAUUGUCAUCAGCACAAAAACAUGUUACAAAAUCUCCCUCUUUAUUAAAAAAAAAAAAAUAUAUGCCUCCACUGACUCUACAUCUCUCCCCAGACUAUCCCCUUUUCUCUGAUUGCCUUUUCAGCCAAAACUCCUUGAAGAAGUUGUCUGAAUGUGGGGCGCCUGGGGGGUGGCUCAGUCGGUUAAGCGUCUGACUUCGGCUCGGGUCAUAUCUCACGUUCAAGCCCCACAUCCAGCUCUGUGCUGACAGCUCAGAGCCUGGAGCCUGCUUCCAAUUCCGUGUCUCCCUCUCUCUCUCUGCCCCUCCCUUGCUCAUGCUCUGUCUCUCUCUCCCAAAAAUAAACAUUAAAACUUAAAAAAAAAAAAAA